Molecule: ribosomal RNA, 1653 nt
Filed under: Triticum aestivum (bread wheat)
Lineage: Eukaryota; Viridiplantae; Streptophyta; Magnoliopsida; Poales; Poaceae
Description: partial small subunit ribosomal RNA
Source: RNAcentral
AUGGCGACCACCGCGGCCCUCCCCUUCUCCUGCGCCACCACCGUCCAGACCCUGACCCGGACCCUCUCCCCGCGCCGCUCCCUCCUCAUCCACCGCCACCGCCUCCGCUCCCUCGCCGCCUCCCCGCGGCUCCCGGACCGCGCCCGCCCCCGCCUCCGCCGCCCCGUCUCGGCCUCCGCCGCGCCCAACGGGUCCUCCUCCGGGGGGGAGCACGACUACGACCUCUUCACCAUCGGCGCCGGGAGCGGCGGCGUGCGGGCCUCGCGCUUCGCCUCCACCCUCUACGGCGCCCGCGCCGCCAUCUGCGAGAUGCCCUUCUCCACCAUCUCCGCGGACGACCUCGGCGGCCUCGGGGGCACAUGUGUGCUUCGUGGGUGCGUUCCCAAGAAACUGUUAGUGUAUGCAUCCAAGUUCUCUCAUGAGUUUGAAGAGUCUCAUGGCUUUGGAUGGACAUAUGAUACUGAUCCAAAGCAUGACUGGAGCACUCUGAUAGCCAACAAAAAUACAGAGCUGCAACGCCUAGUUGGCAUUUACAAAAAUAUUUUAAAGAACGCAAACGUCGAUCUAAUUGAAGGCCGUGGAAAGGUGGUUGAUCCACAUACUGUUAGUGUGGAUGGCAAGCUCUACACCGCUAAGAACAUACUUAUAGCUGUUGGUGGUCGACCAUCGAUGCCCGAUAUCCCAGGAAUAGAGCAUGUUAUAGAUUCCGAUGCUGCACUAGAUCUGCCUUCAAAACCUGAGAAAAUUGCAAUAGUGGGAGGUGGAUAUAUUGCCUUGGAGUUUGCUGGCAUUUUUAAUGGCUUAAAAAGUGAUGUUCAUGUGUUUAUUCGGCAGCCGAAAGUUUUAAGAGGGUUUGAUGAGGAGGUCAGAGAUUUCGUUGCUGAACAGAUGUCUUUAAGGGGUAUCACAUUUCAUACUGAACAUAGUCCUCAAGCUAUAACCAAAUCAAAUGAUGGUUUACUAUCUUUGAAGACAAACAAAGAAACUAUUGGUGGGUUUUCACAUGUAAUGUUCGCAACAGGUCGUAAACCGAAUACGAAGAACCUCGGACUGGAGGAGGUUGGGGUUAAAAUGGACAAGAAGGGGGCUAUAGUGGUCGAUGGGUAUUCUCGAACCUCGGUGGAUUCAAUUUGGGCUGUUGGAGAUGUUACUGAUAGGAUCAACUUGACUCCGGUUGCACUGAUGGAAGGUGGAGCAUUUGCGAAAACUUUAUUCGGUGAUGAACCUACCAAACCAGAGUACAGAGCUGUACCAGCUGCUGUUUUCUCCCAACCACCCAUUGGGCAAGUUGGCCUUACCGAGGAGCAGGCUAUUGAAGAGUAUGGAGAUGUUGAUGUCUACUUGUCAAACUUCAGACCUCUUAGAGCCACUCUUUCUGGAUUACCUGAUCGUGUACUAAUGAAGCUCAUUGUGUGUGCUACUACGAACAAAGUUGUAGGAGUGCAUAUGUGCGGUGAUGAUGCACCUGAGAUAAUCCAGGGAAUUGCAAUUGGUGUUAAAGCUGGGUUAACGAAGCAAGAUUUUGAUGUCACUGUUGGCGUUCACCCAACAUCUGCAGAGGAAUUUGUCACUAUGAGGAGUCCAACUAGAAAAGUUCGAAGAAAAACUGCAGCUGAGGCAGAGUCUAAGGAUGAGGUCGUCACUCAGAAGUAG